This 2136-nucleotide unclassified non-coding RNA is filed under the name Leishmania donovani. RNAcentral describes it as "gene:LdHU3.32.3310(CDS-product:hypothetical_prote in)". Lineage: Eukaryota; Euglenozoa; Kinetoplastea; Trypanosomatida; Trypanosomatidae. The record is from RNAcentral.
GUCUCUGACCGACUUCCCCCCCUUCACUACCACCCGUCGCCUUUCUCCCUCUCUGUGAGUAUCGCUGACGUGUACAGUAGUGUCACCGAGCCAGCUGCACGCAGGGCAUCCGCAUACGACAGCUACGGCACCCUACUCGAUCGUCGAGAAACGAGAAGACCACCGCGCGCCUCACUCAUCAUUCACCAACUCCUUGCCUCUCAUCCUUCAAAGGAAAGCCGCCACCAUCGUUCACGAGGAAGUUGAACCCCAGUCCACCGUUUCUUUCUCAGUGCAUACCGCAAGCCCGUCAAGGCCCCCUCCCCCGCUAGACUGGUGGCAACGGGCUCCUGCGCGUUGCGUCGCUGUGCGCCCUUUCUUCUCUCAUCGCGCCUCUCUGCGUGUGCCUCGUUUUCCGGCACCUCCCGAACUCGCCAAUCUAGGGCUCCGUGGCACGAGUGUCAAGCGAUUCGGCGUGCGGGUGCCCCCCUUUCACAUCCCCCUUGAGAGCGCGUUAGCGGUGCAGCUUCCUACACAGCCCAUGGCGUACACGAUCAACUCUUCCAGACACUCGAACGGCGACGGCGACGGCGACGGCAUAGCAGGGCAGACACAGCCUUCUGCCGCGAGUUCAGCGGGCGCCCCAAUCGUCCGCUUCAGCCUCCUCUAUCAGCUACGGCACAAUGCAUGCUCCAUCACCGCGCGCAAUUCCAGCUCGCUGCAGCGUGCCCAGUCGCGCCCAUCCCUACCGCAGACAGGAGAGCAAUGCGGCCACUGCUCGGCAUACGCGAACGACUUCUCUCAUGGGGAGACAGAGACAGCAGCCGGGCCGGGCUACAUGACGCCGCCGCAGCGUCGCAGCCGUCCCUCCUCGACAGAGCUGUUUUCCGGGCCUUCUUCCUCGCCUGUAGCGCUGUCGCCUCCUCCCGCCACGUAUGCCGACAUUCCGUUGCUGUCGACUAUGGACAAGCGAGAGCUGUCUAAGGUGGUCGUGCGCGAUGCCGUCUUCGGGCGCUUGCUGGAUUUGGUUCCGUCACGGCAGCACAUCCAGACAGCCGUGUGGACGCUUUCGCGGCAUGUGAUUCAGAUCGACGGCGCCGUCACGGUGUGCGCCAUGCCGCGAGAUGCCCGCAAUACCUACCCGCUUGCUAGCUCUUCGCAUUUUGCCGCUUCAAAUAUCGGAGGCGGUGUCUACGGGGAUGUGGAGAGCCUGCGUGAUGUAGUGCGCGAGCGCGUUGGGGAGCUUGUGAUGGACGCGCGGCUCUUUGCGUGCUUGCUGCAGCCGUAUCUGGGGGAAAUCGGUUGCCAAGGCGAUGUGAUUCAGACCUCCGUCGAGGUUGUGAGGUAGGGAGCACAGAGGCGCAUCCCCCCUCGUUCUGCUCGGACCACUGCGCGUGUCGUUACCCCUUUUCCCAUAGACUACUUUGCACUCCCCCUCCUCAUCACCCCCCCCUUUAGAAGAUGGUCUUCUUGUGCGAUUUGUUCGAUCGGUGAGUAGCAGAGUUUUGUUCGUGCGAGCGCGUGUGUGCGGGUGUGUGGUCGCGCUGCUUUGUGCAGCAAUGGGCGAAGAAGAAACAGGAGGGCGCAGCAGAGCUGCAAGUGUCUGUUACAGCGGAAGCCUUGCUGCCGCACUGCCAUACCUCCUCCUCUUCAGCCUCGAGCCCAUCAUCAAGAGCUGUGAAUGGUGUCUGCUCGACCACUUAAUGACGCCACGACUGCAACAUGAUAUAAACGGGCACGACAAGGAAGCGAGCGAGCAUGCGAGCAACUUGAAAAAGGUCAGCGUGGCAAGCCAGGCGAACCAACGAGGCAAUGGCGUUGGAUUACCGGCGAAACCUCCACCCUCUUUCGCCCCGCGCACAAUCGCCACGCUGUUUUGCUGUUGCUGUUGUGCCGCCUUCGCUUUGCGUUUCUCCAUCGUACUUCUUACCCACCUGUGCCGUCCGCAGCGGUGCUGGCGCUACGCCCUGUCUUCUUUCUAUCUGAAUACCUUCCACCGCAACACCCGCGCACCCACCAUUUUCCACGUCUCUUUUAUUUGCAUCUGCGACUUGCCCCGUAUUCUUUUUGCUCGCCCUCAUUUCUCUGUGCCGCACACAAUUACGUCGUGUCUCCGUGACACGGUUGCACACCCGGGAUGCCCGCUGCUGCGCACAG